Molecule: transfer RNA, 71 nt
Filed under: Marmota monax (woodchuck)
Lineage: Eukaryota; Metazoa; Chordata; Mammalia; Rodentia; Sciuridae
Description: tRNA.Thr
Source: RNAcentral
GGGGUUGUGGCUCAGAGGUAGAGAGUUCCUCUAGUACGUGUGAGGCCCUGAGUUUGAUCCUCAGCACCACA